Molecule: long non-coding RNA, 239 nt
Filed under: Jatropha curcas
Lineage: Eukaryota; Viridiplantae; Streptophyta; Magnoliopsida; Malpighiales; Euphorbiaceae
Description: long non-coding RNA (JCUR_LNC000175)
Source: RNAcentral
UAAAUCCACUAGAACCUGAAACUGGAUAAACUUUCCCCCAUCCUUGGGACUUCUCAUCAGACUAUGCUAUAAAGCUUUCCAAUUUAUUUCCUAUGAGUUCAAUUAUGGAUCUUUUCAUAGAACGAAGCAGAAGGUCAAAAACCCUAACCCACAAAUUAGUAGUGUGCAUCACAAGGGAUGAAGGUUGUUCAGUGCCAAUUACUUCUUUAAGGACAAGCAAACUCUUUUCAAAAUGCAAG